Molecule: ribosomal RNA, 252 nt
Filed under: uncultured bacterium
Lineage: Bacteria
Description: partial 16S ribosomal RNA
Rfam family: Bacterial small subunit ribosomal RNA
Source: RNAcentral
UACAGAGGUCUCAAGCGUUGUUCGGAUUCAUUGGGCGUAAAGGGUGCGUAGGUGGCGGGGCAAGUUUGGUGUGAAAUCCCGGGGCUCAACCCCGGAACUGCACUGAAUACUGCUUGCUUGAGCACUGGAGAGGGAACUGGAAUUUACGGUGUAGCAGUGAAAUGCGUAGAUAUCGUAAGGAAGACCAGUGGCGAAGGCGAGUCCUGGGACAGUGCUGACACUGAGGCACGAAGGCCGAGGGGAGCAAACGGG